GAUGAAGAACGCAGCGAAAUGCGAUAAGUAAUGCGAAUUGCAGAAUUCCAGUGAGUCAUCGAAUCUUUGAACGCACAUUGCGCCCGCUGGUAUUCCGGCGGGCAUGCCUGUUCGAGCGUCAUUUCAACCCUCAAGCCCCCGGGUUUGGUGUUGGGGAUCGGCUCUGCCUUCUGGCGGUGCCGCCCCCGAAAUACAUUGGCGGUCUCGCUGCAGCCUCCAUUGCGUAGUAGCUAACACCUCGCAACUGGAACGCGGCGCGGCCAUGCCGUAAAACCCCAACUUCUGAAUGUUGACCUCGGAUCAGGUAGGAAUACCCGCUGAACUUAAGCAUAUCAAUAAGCGGAGGA
Molecule: unclassified non-coding RNA, 347 nt
Filed under: soil metagenome
Description: partial contains 5.8S ribosomal RNA, internal transcribed spacer 2, and large subunit ribosomal RNA
Rfam family: 5.8S ribosomal RNA (bases 1-121)
Source: RNAcentral